GUUGUAAAGACGAAUGCAGGAGCGUUGACCUUUUAUGCAUAAAAUACCUGCUGUUUUGUUCAGCCAAAAUGUACACAUAACUGCAUUGGAGGAGACGGAACGAACUUUCAGACAGCAAUACAUCAAACUGAUGGGAUCGUGUUUGGACCUUCAUCCCAUUGGCCACCAUUGCAGUCCAUUAUAUGGAGAAAAAUCCUGGAAUGUUUUCCUCAAAAACCUUAAUUUCUUUGCGACUGAAGAUAGAAAGACAUGAACAUGAGAGGUAUUAUUCCAGCAUUAAAGAUGCUGGAUGAUGUGUUUUGCACCAAAGUCGAAUACUUAUUGUUAGGGGUUUGUUUAAAUCCGUAAGUAUAGCAAUAGUGAUGUUUGUCAUGUGUGUGUUAGUUACUGAGCAGUUUACCGGAACCAUAAUCAUGAUCUUUACUCAUUCAUUCACUAAAGCGUGUGUGUUUGUAUGUCCACCCACAUCUCUUUUCUCUGUCACACAAUCAUUUCCCAUCCUCAUUGAUUUAUUAGUGAUCUCAACAAUUCAAACAAGUGAGUAAACCAAUUCUUUGGGCCCCUCAACCGGUUUACCACCAAUUAAGGAAGUCAACGCUGUUAGUCAUAUUUAUCUUUUUUAGCAUGAGUGCACAUGUGUGGUCGUCACAUCAAGUGUAAGAAAACCGUUGGCAAAUAACUAAUGAAAAAGCAUAUAAUCAGGGCAAUAAAAUUCAUUUAGAAUAGGACUUUAUUACAUCACGCUGACGCUUUGUGAUCAAUGAUUUUGGGGAUACAAAAAGGCUGGGAGUAAAAAUCAGACUAGAAGCACUGGACGACUGCUAAAGUGCUACGAGAACAUCAAACUGAGGGUGAGUUAUGUUUCUGAACACGCUUCUGUCACACAUUUGAUUGCCAGGAAAAAUGGUUCGUCUUUCACAACUAAAAGUUCUCAUUUUCAUCUUUUUAAGGUGUGGAAAUGUCUGUUCUCACAAGUCUGACGCAAGUGUCCAUCCUUGCGAUAUUUCUCAUCCAGUGUGCGACCAGCCUUCCGGUUCUGGGCAGGUAUCUUGGAGAAGAGGACAGCAUCUCAACAGCGGACACCUUUUCUCCCAGAAAGAUGUUGUUUCCUAGAGAUGAUGCAGAUAUGCUUUUUGAUGACCGAGACAGGAGAUCUGGGCUUCAGACGAGGCAGUUGGGUGACAUUGAGUUCACAAACAGAUAUGCUGAACUUCUGAAAUCCAAAGCUAAAAUCACAUCCAUCUGCGCCCUCCUGAAACGCAUGCAAAGCAGCAAGAAAAGCGGCGUCGGUGGAGAAACAGACAGACUGAUUUCCCUGAUGAGACUGUAUUCAUGUCCAAACGUGUACCAGUGAAGACUGUGACUUCAUGUCCAAGAAACCUGCAUGAAGACAACAACUUCACAAUGUCUGAAUCAGUUUUAACAUGUUUGAGACAAACUGUUUGUAUAUAUUUGAAUCUAAUUGAGUCUCAUAAAACUGCAGAUUCAGUAGCAUCUCAGAUGCAAAAUAAACUCUGGACUUAAGAAUAGCGUCUUGUCUUU
Molecule: long non-coding RNA, 1542 nt
Organism: Cyprinus carpio (common carp)
Lineage: Eukaryota; Metazoa; Chordata; Actinopteri; Cypriniformes; Cyprinidae
Source: Ensembl